GCCUUCGUGGUGUAGUGGCCAGCACGCUUGACGCGUAACCGAGAGGUCCGUGGUUCGAUUCCGCCGAAGGCU
Molecule: transfer RNA, 72 nt
Filed under: Stegodyphus mimosarum
Lineage: Eukaryota; Metazoa; Arthropoda; Arachnida; Araneae; Eresidae
Rfam family: tRNA
About the family: Transfer RNA (tRNA) molecules are approximately 80 nucleotides in length. Their secondary structure includes four short double-helical elements and three loops (D, anti-codon, and T loops).
Source: Rfam by way of RNAcentral